RNAcentral lists this transfer RNA (68 nucleotides) under Parevania sp. SJW-2015. RNAcentral describes it as "tRNA-Glu". The record is from RNAcentral. Lineage: Eukaryota; Metazoa; Arthropoda; Insecta; Hymenoptera; Evaniidae.
AUUUAAAUAGUUUAAUAAAAUAAAACAUUAUAUUUUCAUUAUAAAAAUAUUUGAAUUAAUUUUAAAUA